GCCCGGGUGGUGAAAUUGGUAGACACAAGAGACUUAAAAUCUCUCGCUCUUUGAGUGUACGGGUUCGAUUCCCGUCCCGGGCACCA
This 86-nucleotide transfer RNA is filed under the name Ferribacterium limneticum. RNAcentral describes it as "tRNA-Leu". It matches the Rfam family "tRNA". From Rfam's summary of the family: Transfer RNA (tRNA) molecules are approximately 80 nucleotides in length. Lineage: Bacteria; Pseudomonadati; Pseudomonadota; Betaproteobacteria; Rhodocyclales; Azonexaceae. The record is from RNAcentral. RNAcentral also lists the same sequence under 9 other names.